GACGAACGCUGGCGGCGUGCUUAACACAUGCCAGUCGUGCGGUAAGGCCCUUUCGGGGGUACACGAGACGCGAACGGGAGAAUAACACGUGAGGAAACUGCCCUGCACUUUGGGAUAACUGCCGGAAACGGUGGCUAAUAGCGGAAAGGACUUCCUCACGCAUGUUGGGUGUUGGAAAGCCUUGGGGUGGUGGGGGAUGUGUUCGCGGUCUAUCGGCUUGUUGGUGGGGUGAUGGCCUACCAAGGCUUGGACGGGUAGCCGGCCUGGGAGGGUGACCGGCCACACUGGGACAGAGACACGGGCCAGACUCCUACGGGAGGCAGGAGUGGGAAAUAUUGGACGAUGGGCGACAGCCUGGACCAGCGUCGCCGCGUGAGGGAUGACGGCCUUCAGGUUAUAAACCUCUUUCGCCUGCGACGAAGCGAGAGUGACGGUAGCAAGUAAAGAAGCACCGGCCAACUACGUG
Molecule: ribosomal RNA, 466 nt
Filed under: uncultured bacterium
Lineage: Bacteria
Description: partial 16S ribosomal RNA
Rfam family: Bacterial small subunit ribosomal RNA
Source: RNAcentral